RNAcentral lists this unclassified non-coding RNA (351 nucleotides) under soil metagenome. Its description in RNAcentral is "partial contains 5.8S ribosomal RNA, internal transcribed spacer 2, and large subunit ribosomal RNA". The stretch from base 1 to 120 matches the Rfam family "5.8S ribosomal RNA", at positions 35 to 154 of the family's 154-position model. The record is from RNAcentral.
GAUGAAGAACGUAGCGAAAUGCGAUAAGUAAUGUGAAUUGCAGAAUUCAGUGAAUCAUCGAAUCUUUGAACGCACAUUGCGCCCGCCAGUAUUCUGGCGGGCAUGCCUGUCUGAGCGUCAUUUCAACCCUCAGCCCCCGCUCGCGGGGCGCUGGCGUUGGGGAUCGGCCGUCCUCGCGGCGGCCGGCCCCGAAACACAGUGACGGUCUCUCGCGGACUCCCCUGCGUAGUAGCACUACCUCGCAGAAGGGACGAGCGGGCUGACCACGCCGUAAAACCCCCCACUUCUCCAGGUUGACCUCAGAUCAGGUAGGAAUACCCGCUGAACUUAAGCAUAUCAAUAAGCGGAGGA